Molecule: ribosomal RNA, 450 nt
Filed under: Pseudoalteromonas sp.
Lineage: Bacteria; Pseudomonadati; Pseudomonadota; Gammaproteobacteria; Alteromonadales; Pseudoalteromonadaceae
Description: bacterial SSU rRNA
Rfam family: Bacterial small subunit ribosomal RNA
Source: RNAcentral
GGGCGUAAGCGUACGCAGGCGGUUUGUUAAGCGAGAUGUGAAAGCCCCGGGCUCAACCUGGGAACUGCAUUUCGAACUGGCAAACUAGAGUGUGAUAGAGGGUGGUAGAAUUUCAGGUGUAGCGGUGAAAUGCGUAGAGAUCUGAAGGAAUACCGAUGGCGAAGGCAGCCACCUGGGUCAACACUGACGCUCAUGUACGAAAGCGUGGGGAGCAAACGGGAUUAGAUACCCCGGUAGUCCACGCCGUAAACGAUGUCUACUAGAAGCUCGGAACCUCGGUUCUGUUUUUCAAAGCUAACGCAUUAAGUAGACCGCCUGGGGAGUACGGCCGCAAGGUUAAAACUCAAAUGAAUUGACGGGGGCCCGCACAAGCGGUGGAGCAUGUGGUUUAAUUCGAUGCAACGCGAAGAACCUUACCUACACUUGACAUACAGAGAACUUUCUAGAGAU